Molecule: non-coding RNA, 1757 nt
Organism: Xyrichtys novacula (pearly razorfish)
Lineage: Eukaryota; Metazoa; Chordata; Actinopteri; Labriformes; Labridae
Source: the annotation of a GenBank genome assembly
CAACAGUGAAGGAUUUUUAUUUACCAAAGAAGACAAACUCUGGGGUCUGCUUCAUCAGACAUAUUCGUCUAUUUUCAUCUUUAAUUGACCAAAAUUACAUCCAGAAAGUAAGAGUCUCUUAGUAACGUCUCUUUUAAUACGAUUCAGUCCAGGCAAGCCCUGCUCUGCCUGAUGUCUCGCCUGAGUGCUUACAGAUAAAACAAAUCAUGACUGGUUAUUUGUUUACUUGUCUGUUUGUUUGUUUUCUCUGCUUUAUUCCAGCACUGUAGCAGCCGGCUGAUGUUAGCUGCAUGAAAAUGAAUUUUGAGCUGCAGCUGAAGAAAAGUGGCUUGUUGAGCCAAAUUCCGUUCAGAUGUUUCAGCAGAGGAAUGAACAUUAGUGGUAAUGUUUGCAUUAUAUCCUGGACAUGUCCUGCUCCAAACCCUCAUAUGGUACAACACAAGGCAAGGCAGGUUUAUUUGUAUGGAACCGUUCAUAAACAAGGCGAAUCAAAGUGCUUUACAAAUGCAAGGGAAUACAAGAAAGAUCUGAAAAAGGAGAGAUCAAAACAAUUUCACAUCAAAAAGACAAAACGAUUUUAAAAAACAUUGUUUCCUAGAAAAACAAAAUAUGUCACGAACUUUCAGACCCGGGGCUUCACAGAUGGUAAUAGGUUUUCUCUUUGUCUAUCUCGAAAAGUAUUAGUUAUACUAGUUUUCUCUUCCGCUAUCUUGGACGGUCCAGGUUUUCUCUUCUUUUAUCUCAGAUAGGACUAGUUUUCUCUUUGUCUAUCUCGAACAGUAUUGGUUUUCUCUUUGUCUGUCUCAGAAGGUAUUAGUUUUCUCUAUGUCUAUCUUGGAUGGUAGUAGUUGUACUAGUUUUCUCUUCGUCUUUCUUGGAUGGGACUAGUUUUCUCUUGUCUAUCUCGGAAAGUAUUAAUUUUCUCUUUCUAUCACAGACGGUGUUAGUUUCCUCUUUGUCUAUCUCAGACUGUAUUGGUUUUCUCUUCGUCUAUCUCGGAUAGUAUUGGUUAUACUAGUUCUAUCUUCGUCUAUCAACGACGUUAUUAGUUGUACUAGAUUUCUUGUCAUCUGUCUCCGACGGUAUUAGUUGUACUAGUGGUUUUUCAUCCAAUUUGGACGGUAUUAGUUUUCUUUCGUCUAUCUCAGACGGUAUUAGUUGUACUAGUUUUCUCUUCUUCUAUCUUGGAUGAUAUUAGUUUUCUCUUCGUCUAUCUCGGACUGUAUUAGUUUUCUCUUCGUCUCUCUUCAGCGGUAUUGGUUGUACUAGUUCUAUCUUCGUCUAUCAAUGACGUUAUUAGUUGUAUGAGUUUUCUUUUCGUCUAUCUCAGACGUAUUGGUUGUACUGGUUUUCUCUUUGUCUAUUUGAAUGGCAUUAGUUUUCUCUUCAUCCAUCUUGGAUGGUAUUAGUUGUAUUAGAUUUAUCUUUGUCUAUCUUGGAUGGUUUUAGUUUUCUCUCCAUCUAUCUCAAACAGUAUUGGUUUUAUCUUCAUCUAUCUUGGAUGGUAGUAGUUGUACUAGUACUUUCUCUUCGUCUAUCUCAGAGGGUGUUAGUUUUCUCUUCGUCUAUCUUGGACUGUAUUACUUUUCUCUUCUCUUAUCUCGGACGGUAAAUGGUUUGCAGCUACCACCUGUAAAACCACACCAUGUUAGGUUUUGUCUUUCUAACCUCCUCUCCUAUCCACCUGUUGUCUGUCCCAUUUGCACAACAGCAGGUGAAAUUGAUUCACAGUCGUUUUUACUUCCUGACUGGACGGC